RNAcentral lists this small nuclear RNA (335 nucleotides) under Ailuropoda melanoleuca (giant panda). RNAcentral describes it as "7SK RNA". It matches the Rfam family "7SK RNA". Rfam says of the family: 7SK was discovered as an abundant small nuclear RNA in the mid-70s but a possible function has only recently been suggested. Two independent studies have found that 7SK RNA binds the CDK9/cyclin T complex (known as elongation factor P-TEFb). P-TEFb activates transcription by phosphorylating the C-terminal domain of RNA polymerase II. Lineage: Eukaryota; Metazoa; Chordata; Mammalia; Carnivora; Ursidae. The record is from Rfam by way of RNAcentral.
UGAUGUGAGGGAGAUCUGGCUGCGACAUCUGUCACCCCAUUGAUCACCAGAGUUGAUUUGGCUCAUCUGGCUGGCCAGGCGGGUGUCCCCGUCCUCCCUCACUGCUCCAUGUGUGUCCUUCCUGACACAGCGCUCUCUGUUGGAAUGGACAACCUUAACCUUCCCUGAUAGAGGAGGAGCGUUCCUUGUCAAAGCUAGUAAAGUAGGUGCGCCCUCCUGCUAGAACCUCCAAACAAGCUCUCAAGGCCCAUCUGUAGGAGAAGGUAGAGUAGUCAGGCUCCAACACUCCAGACACACCCAGAUGAGGUGCUGCAUGUGGCAGUCCGCCUUUCUUG